Molecule: ribosomal RNA, 397 nt
Filed under: uncultured bacterium
Lineage: Bacteria
Description: partial 16S ribosomal RNA
Rfam family: Bacterial small subunit ribosomal RNA
Source: RNAcentral
AUACGUAGGUGACAAGCGUUAUCCGGAUUUACUGGGCGUAAAGGGCGUGUAGGCGGUCUUGCAAGUCAGAAGUGAAAUUCCUGAGCUCAACUCGGGCGCUGCUUCUGAAACUGCAGGACUUGAGUGCUGGAGGGGAUAGCGGAAUUCCUAGUGUAGCGGUGAAAUGCGUAGAUAUUAGGAGGAACACCAGUGGCGAAGGCGGCUUGCUGGACGACAACUGACGCUGAGGCGCGAAAGUGUGGGGAGCAAACAGGAUUAGAUACCCUGGUAGUCCACGCGGUAAACGAUGAAUGCUAGGUGUUGCGGGUAUCGACCCCUGCAGUGCCGGAGUAAACACAAUAAGCACUCCGCCUGGGGAGUACGGCCGCAAGGUUGAAACUCAAAUGAAUUGGCGGGG